Non-coding RNA from Podarcis lilfordi (Lilford's wall lizard), 103 nucleotides. Lineage: Eukaryota; Metazoa; Chordata; Lepidosauria; Squamata; Lacertidae. The record is from the annotation of a GenBank genome assembly.
AAGAGUCAGUACAUUCUCUCUCUCUCUCUCUCUCUCUCUCUGUGUGUGUGUGUGUGUGAGAGAGAGAGAGAGAGAGAGAGAGAGAAGACAAUAGAAGAGGAAG